Molecule: transfer RNA, 76 nt
Filed under: bacterium
Lineage: Bacteria
Description: tRNA-Met
Rfam family: tRNA
About the family: Transfer RNA (tRNA) molecules are approximately 80 nucleotides in length.
Source: RNAcentral
GGGCCCAUAGCUCAGUUGGUAGAGCCACCGGCUCAUAACCGGUUGGUCGUUGGUUCGAGUCCAACUGGGCCCACCA